AGAGAUGGAUCUCUUCCAGCAAUGGACCUGCACACAGGUGCUGCAUGGCUGUCGUCAGCUCGUGUCGUGAGAUGUUGGGUUAAGUCCCGCAACGAGCGCAACCCUCGCCUUUAGUUGCCAUCAUUCAGUUGGGCACUCUAAAGGGACUGCCGGUGAUAAGCCGCGAGGAAGGUGGGGAUGACGUCAAGUCCUCAUGGCCCUUACGGGCUGGGCUACACACGUGCUACAAUGGCGGUGACAGUGGGAUGCAAAGGGGCGACCCCUCGCAAAUCUCAAAAAGCCGUCUCAGUUCGGAUUGUACUCUGCAACUCGAGUGCAUGAAGUUGGAAUCGCUAGUAAUCGUGGAUCAGCAUGCCACGGUGAAUACGUUCCCGGGCCUU
RNAcentral lists this ribosomal RNA (380 nucleotides) under uncultured Xanthobacter sp. RNAcentral describes it as "bacterial SSU rRNA". It matches the Rfam family "Bacterial small subunit ribosomal RNA", at positions 1002 to 1382 of the family's 1533-position model. The record is from RNAcentral. Lineage: Bacteria; Pseudomonadati; Pseudomonadota; Alphaproteobacteria; Hyphomicrobiales; Xanthobacteraceae.